Molecule: ribosomal RNA, 497 nt
Filed under: uncultured bacterium
Lineage: Bacteria
Description: partial 16S ribosomal RNA
Rfam family: Bacterial small subunit ribosomal RNA
Source: RNAcentral
GAUGAACGCUGGCGGCGUGCCUAAUACAUGCAAGUCGAGCGAACAGAUGAGGAGCUUGCUCCUCUGACGUUAGCGGCGGACGGGUGAGUAACACGUGGAUAACCUACCUAUAAGACUGGGAUAACUUCGGGAAACCGGAGCUAAUACCGGAUAAUAUAUUGAACCGCAUGGUUCAAUAGUGAAAGACGGUUUUGCUGUCACUGAUAGAUGGAUCCGCGCCGCAUUAGCUAGUUGGUAAGGUAACGGCUUACCAAGGCGACGAUGCGUAGCCGACCUGAGAGGGUGAUCGGCCACACUGGAACUGAGACACGGUCCAGACUCCUACGGGAGGCAGCAGUAGGGAAUCUUCCGCAAUGGGCGAAAGCCUGACGGAGCAACGCCGCGUGAGUGAUGAAGGUCUUCGGAUCGUAAAGCUCUGUUAUUAGGGAAGAACAAAUGUGUAAGUAACUAUGCACGUCUUGACGGUACCUGAUCAGAAAGCCACGGCUAACUACGUG